GACGAACGCUGGCGGCGUGCUUAACACAUGCAAGUCGAACGCUGAAGACCUGGCUUUUGUUGGGUUGGAUGAGUGGCGAACGGGUGAGUAACACGUGAGUAACCUGCCCUCUUCUUUGGGAUAACGCCCGGAAACGGGUGCUAAUACUGGAUAUUCACUGAUCUUCGCAUGGGGGUUGGUGGAAAGGUUUGUUCUGGUGGGGGAUGGGCUCGCGGCCUAUCAGCUUGUUGGUGGGGUGAUGGCCUACCAAGGCUUUGACGGGUAGCCGGCCUGGGAGGGUGACCGGUCAGGUUGGGACUGAGAUACGGCCCAGACUCCUACGGGAGGCAGCAGUGGGGAAUAUUGCACAAUGGGCGAAAGCCUGAUGCAGCGACGCCGCGUGAGGGAUGGAGGCCUUCGGGUUGUAAACCUCUUUCGCUCAUGGUCAAGCCGCAACUGUGGGUUGUGGUGAGGGUAGUGGGUAAAGAAGCGCCGGCUAACUACGUG
This 486-nucleotide ribosomal RNA is filed under the name uncultured bacterium. Its description in RNAcentral is "partial 16S ribosomal RNA". It matches the Rfam family "Bacterial small subunit ribosomal RNA", at positions 28 to 507 of the family's 1533-position model. The record is from RNAcentral.